AAUGGGCGCAAGCCUGAUCCAGCCAUGCCGCGUGUGUGAAGAAGGUCUAGGGUUGUAAAGCACUUUAAGGGAAGAAGUUUUAUCUAUACUGACGGUACCUGCAGAAUAAGCACCGGCUAACUCCGUGCCAGCAGCCGCGGUAAUACGUAGGGGGCGAGCGUUGUCCGGAUUUAUUGGGCGUAAAGAGCUCGUAGGCGGUUCAACAAGUCGGUCGUGAAAGUUCAGGGCUCAACCCUGAAAUGCGAUCGAUACUGUUGGACUAGGAUACGGCAGAGGUGAGUGGAAUUCCGAGUGUAGCGGUGAAAUGCGUAGAUAUUCGGAGGAACACCAAUUGCGAAGGCAGCUCACUGGGCCGCUAUCGACGCUGAGGAGCGAAAGCUAGGGGAGCAAACAGGAUU
RNAcentral lists this ribosomal RNA (398 nucleotides) under uncultured Actinomycetes bacterium. Its description in RNAcentral is "bacterial SSU rRNA". It matches the Rfam family "Bacterial small subunit ribosomal RNA", at positions 370 to 779 of the family's 1533-position model. Lineage: Bacteria; Bacillati; Actinomycetota; Actinomycetes. The record is from RNAcentral.